AUGAGCAGUGCAAUUUUAAAUGAGUUUAUAAUAUUGUUGGUAACAACAAUCUUAAAUCUUAAUAAUUUCACAUUUAAUAUGGUAAUAUUGUGUAGCCCUGGAUCCAUAACAGCUAUUGUGGAAGAAAGUGCUGUCUCCAUCAACAGCUCUACAGGAAGAGAAGAGGGACACAUAUCCUCAUCAGAAGAAUUAACAGAUCUGAGUUCAGUGUCCUUGGAGAGUCUGGAAAGCUGCCCUGUAGCACUUGAAGGAAGUUGUGAUCCUCAUGGGAAGAAAAGACCUGCUUCUUCUACUGGGGAAGACCUGGAAAACUCCAAUAAGGGGAUCCCACCUAAGUUAAGAUGUAUACCAAAGCAAGCUGAUGAAAAAAACUCAGAAAAGUUGAACAUUUCAAAGAAAAUUAUAUCUACCUCUAGUUUAGUACCUGAACUAUACGCGAAAGAAGAAGAGCAGUCUCAGUCUUCUCUAAAUUUAGGGGCUCUGCAGUUUGGAGAAGCAGCUACGUCAGAUGAGCAAAUGUUAAGGAUGCUCAAUGUGGGAAAAGCAGACACAAUGGAGAAGCAAAUAAAUAUUACUGAUACUUUUAAAUCUGUACACUCUGAACGAGAUAGAAGCACAGAAGCCUUUCCAAAACCACCAUUAUCCAGGUCCAGUCAAAGAUCCUUUGGAUUUUUACCUUUGAUCUGUAAAGAUAAUGCUGAUGAAAUAACCAUUAAACCAAGUAAAGAGUUGCACCAGGGAAUGGAUACAGUUGUCUCUGAAAGGGUUCCUAAAUGUGCAGUCUCAUCAAGAGAAGACAACAAAGAAGCUCAAGAGAACAUUUCCCUUCCAUCAGCCAUCCCAACUUCUUCCACAUGUGAGAAAGAAAGCUGUUCUACUGUUCAGGUUUCUUCUGAAUUAUCUGACAGUGAAGGUUCCUCUAAAGAGCAGGAAAAAGAAGAGGAGCCAACAAAGAUCUCAGAGUACUUCUUCAGUGAUAUUUUUAUGGAGGUGGAUGAUUCAGAAUAAUCUAAAAACUUAAGAAGUGUCUGGUAUUAAAGACCCCCAUAUCCACAGGAGAUCCAACUGAUCUGAUCUGUUUGAUUUUGGUACAAGUAGUUUCUAGAUGCAUGCCUACAUUUUAGAAAUGCAAUGGAGAAUUUCUGUUUGACCAUAAACACACCACCUAAAUAUAUUAUGUACGUUUAUGGGUGCUGCCUGUAAAUUAUCUAUACUUCUUUUUGUGAAGUAAGCUUUUAUGAGAGGGAGGAUCAUUUAUCUCUGUAAAUAGGUGAAUUUUGAACAUUUCAGUGUAAUAAGUACAUGACUCAUUUUGAAUCAGCUUAUUUGAUGAAUUUUUAUAAUAAAUACAUUCAUAGCUUGGUUCA
This 1367-nucleotide long non-coding RNA is filed under the name Pogona vitticeps (central bearded dragon). RNAcentral's name for it is "lncRNA (ENSPVIG00000025345.1)". The record is from RNAcentral. Lineage: Eukaryota; Metazoa; Chordata; Lepidosauria; Squamata; Agamidae.